AGCGAACGCUGGCGGCAGGCUUAACACAUGCAAGUCGAGCGCCCCGCAAGGGGAGCGGCAGACGGGUGAGUAACACGUGGGAACGUGCCUUUUGGUUCGGAACAACCCAGGGAAACUUGGGCUAAUACCGGAUAAGCCCUUACGGGGAAAGAUUUAUCGCCAAAAGAUCGGCCCGCGUCUGAUUAGCUAGCUGGUGGGGUAAUGGCCCACCAAGGCUGCGAUCAGUAGCUGGUCUGAGAGGAUGAUCAGCCACAUUGGGACUGAGACACGGCCCAAACUCCUACGGGAGGCAGCAGUGGGGAAUAUUGGACAAUGGGGGCAACCCUGAUCCAGCCAUGCCGCGUGAGUGAUGAAGGCCUUAGGGUUGUAAAGCUCUUUUAGCAGGGAAGAUAAUGGCGGUACCUGCAGAAAAAGCCCCGGCUAACUUCGUGCCAGCCGCCGCCGUAA
This 447-nucleotide ribosomal RNA is filed under the name uncultured bacterium. RNAcentral describes it as "partial 16S ribosomal RNA". It matches the Rfam family "Bacterial small subunit ribosomal RNA", at positions 29 to 523 of the family's 1533-position model. The record is from RNAcentral.